This 355-nucleotide ribosomal RNA is filed under the name uncultured Pelotomaculum sp. RNAcentral's name for it is "bacterial SSU rRNA". It matches the Rfam family "Bacterial small subunit ribosomal RNA", at positions 1028 to 1382 of the family's 1533-position model. The record is from RNAcentral. Lineage: Bacteria; Bacillati; Bacillota; Clostridia; Eubacteriales; Desulfotomaculaceae.
AGGGAGACAGGUGGUGCAUGGUUGUCGUCAGCUCGUGUCGUGAGAUGUUGGGUUAAGUCCCGCAACGAGCGCAACCCCUACGUUUAGUUGCUAACGCGUGAAGGCGAGCACUCUAGACGAACUGCCGUUGACAAAACGGAGGAAGGUGGGAUGACGUCAAAUCAUCAUGCCCCUUAUGUUCUGGGCUACACACGUGCUACAAUGGCCGGUACAGACGGACGCAAAGCCGCGAGGUGGAGCAAAUCCUAAAAAGCCGGUACUCAGUUCGGAUUGCAGGCUGCAAUUCGCCUGCAUGAAGUCGGAAUCGCUAGUAAUCGCAGGUCAGCAUACUGCGGUGAAUACGUUCCCGGGCCUU